UCCACUGAUCGGGGAAGUGUUGAAGGGUU
RNAcentral lists this small RNA (29 nucleotides) under Bombyx mori (domestic silkworm). Its description in RNAcentral is "ovarian small RNA-26722". The record is from RNAcentral. Lineage: Eukaryota; Metazoa; Arthropoda; Insecta; Lepidoptera; Bombycidae.